This 139-nucleotide long non-coding RNA is filed under the name Macaca mulatta (Rhesus monkey). Its description in RNAcentral is "lncRNA (ENSMMUG00000042982.2)". Lineage: Eukaryota; Metazoa; Chordata; Mammalia; Primates; Cercopithecidae. The record is from RNAcentral.
UGCCGUGAGCAGUGCUUUUGUCAGAGUCGUGGAAAAUUCACUUAAGAAAGCAAAACAAGGAAAUGAGAUGAGCGUUUUUCCUUUUGACCCUCUCAACUAUCCGGUCACAUUGUACCUAUUGGCUUCAAGUCAAUUUACA